GGUAGGAAAGCAAAGGUAUGGAUUCAGCCUCAUGAUUCUCCCUCUCCCCCUGCAGAUGAGAAGAGAUGAAGAGACAGAAGCAGUGCAGGUAUGAAGGUGUACAUCUGCAGGAAUGCCCCUGUACAUGCCGCUACAAGGAGUAAACAGAAGAGAGUCCAGGAGAGGGAAAGAAGAGCCAGGAGAGCAGGAGUAUUCUGAGGAAACAACUUCUAAACUGACUGCAAAAGAGGUUGGCCUGGUUGUGAUACCUGUAUUUGCAAGAGUAAUACUACUGGGCUUCCCAGGUGGCUCAGGCAGUG
Capra hircus (goat) is the source of this 299-nucleotide long non-coding RNA. RefSeq lists it as uncharacterized. NCBI's taxonomy places the organism in Eukaryota, Metazoa, Chordata, Mammalia, Artiodactyla, Bovidae. The record is from RefSeq and is a predicted model, not a curated record. The transcript has 3 exons.